This is a non-coding RNA of Vicia faba (fava bean), 174 nucleotides long. Lineage: Eukaryota; Viridiplantae; Streptophyta; Magnoliopsida; Fabales; Fabaceae. The record is from the annotation of a GenBank genome assembly.
AUGGAUUCUGUUAUAAACCGAAUGGUCAGGAUUUGUUAUGAUUUUGACUUAGUUAUGAGUUGGAAUUCUGAAUCUGUUUCUCUCCCUUUCUGUCAUGACUUAAAAUGGCCAGCUCAUGUUGUUUCGAUCACUUAUUUCACAAUUUUUAGAUAUCCUUUUUACCUCUUUUCCUGA